AGACGGGUAUCGCAUUUUAGGUUUGGUGGUGUCGGUGUUGUAGUGUUAGUGUUAUUGUAUGUUUAUUGCUACAAUAAUUUGUACUUAAGGUACAGAUUAAGCAUCGGAAAUGUAUUAGUGUUGUGAUUUACAUGUUACUCAAAGCGGAUCGUCUAGGCACAGUGCUGUAACUUGGGCAGAUGAAAGACCUUUGAAUACUGGCUCAUUUAUCGUAAUGCAAGUCGUGUGUAACCUAGUCAAGCCGCAUGCGACCAGGAGCCGCGAGCGAUGAUAGUGGUUGUGAUGUUCACGAAAGAGUUGUGUAUUUUACAAGAUUAAAUAUUGCGUGUACAUUUUAUGUGAUCACAAAUCUACUGACUUGAGAGCGAGAGAGCGAACGAUGGAAGAUAUUUUUUCACUUUGCCGAGAAGGCAACGCGUUUCAUGUGCGUGUUUGGUUAGACAACCCGGAAAACGACCUGAAUCAAGGAGACCACCAUGGCUUCAGUCCGCUGCACUGGGCGUCGAGGGAGGGACGCACGAACAUCGUCGACAUGCUCAUCCUGCGCGGCGCUCGCAUCAACGCGACGAACAUGGGAGACGACACAGCACUGCAUCUCGCCUCCAGCCACGGUCACAGAGAGAUCAUGCUCAUGUUGUUGAACAACAAGGCGGACAUCAAUGCUAUUAACGAGCAUGGCAACACGCCCUUGCACUACGCAUGCUUCUGGGGUCAGGACCAGGUCGCCGAGGACCUGGUCGCCAAUGGCUCCCUGGUGUCUCUGCAAAACAAGUAUGGCGAGACACCGCUGGAUAAGUCUCGCUACCCGCUGGCCAAGCGGUUACAAGACAAGGCAACGCAGAUGGGUCAGGAAUUGAAUAAGAUUCCCUACAAGGACCAGUCGUGGCGCGGCUACAAGACGCGCAGCCGCGACGCCACGCUGUCACGCUACUCCGGAAUCGACAUCAACCAGCUAAACCUACAAGUUCGCAUCGCAAGCAGCCACUCUGGAGACCUGUGGCGAGGGACCUGGCAGAGCAAUGACAUUGUCGCCCGCGUGCUCAACAUACGUGAGGUCACGCAGAGAAUCUCACGCGACUUCGCCGAGGAGUAUCCCAGACUCAGGGUUUUCUCGCACCCGAACGUGCUUCCAGUGCUGGGCUGCAGCAACCAACCGCCGAACCUGGUGUGCAUCAGCCAGUACCAGCCGUACGGCUCCCUCUACAAUCUGCUGCACGAGUCCACGAGUGUGGUGGUGGACCACGCGCAGGCGUUGAAGUUUGCGGUGGACCUUGCGCGUGGCAUGGCAUACUUGCACACGCUGGAACCUCUGAUUCCGCACUACUAUCUCUCCAGUAAACACAUCAUGAUUGACGAGGACCUGACGGCGCGAGUGAACAUGGCCGACGCCAAGUUCACCUUCCAGGAGCGCGGCAAGCUGUACUCGCCGGCGUGGAUGGCUCCCGAGGCUCUGCAGAAGAAGCAGGACGACAUCAACGUGCGCGCCUCUGACAUGUGGAGCUUCGCGAUCCUGCUCUGGGAGCUGGCAACGCGCGAGGUGCCUUUCUCAGACAUGAGUCCGAUGGAGAUCGGAAUGAAGAUUGCCCUUGAGGGCCUGCGCAUCACCAUACCGCCCGGCAUAUCUCCUCACAUGUCGAAGCUGGUGCGUAUAUGCAUGAACGAGGAUCCGGGAAAGCGUCCGAACUUCGACAUGAUACUGCCGAUUCUGGAGAAGAUGAAACACUGAGGCGUGCGUUGAGGAUAGGUGGCGCCACACAUGCACAACGUAUUUGCGUCGCUCUGCCGUGGACUUCACCAGGAGGUGGUGGAGUCAUGGCAGGAGGUGGUGGAGUCAUGGCAGGAGGUGGUGGAGUCAUGGCAGGAGGUGGCCGUUUAGAGAGUACUUAAAAAAGCAACUAUGCAGACUGAUUUGGAGUGAUUCGCGUGAAUAGUUGAUGAUGCCUUAUUACGCAAAGGAGGUAGCCUGUGCCCAGGUGAGCUCGAGAUUGUAACUAUGCUUGCGGUUGGACUGUCGAAAAAUCGUUUGUCGAAUACGCGUUAUGUAACGGAAUGAACAGCUAAGCAGCAUCAGGGCACCGUGUCGAUUUUCAUCAGGUCUCUUGGGGACAGCGUACGUGAGUACCAGUUAAUACCAGUGAGCAUUUACCGUGCAUCUUGCAUGGCGGUUCAAGUAGCUGGUGAAAGACAACGUGCAAUUUGCCCGCUAGCCAGCUUUGCUAUAAAUCCGAGAAUAAUCGUCUGCCGUUAUUGUGAGAAUUUCUGUAUUUAGUCGUGAAGGUCUCCCCUCUGAUUUUGAAGAGGUGCUGUUUGCUCUGCCCAUACGAGAAUAUUUCUUUUAAGGUUGGUAACCGACUGCGAUCGUUAGUUGUUAGGCUACGCAAUUUUCUUAGCCAGCGUUGCGUUUAAAAUUUGCCGUAUGUGCGUAGUAGCUGUAGCAGAAGUGGAUUCCCAAAAAAUGUCAGUGUAGGGUUGAAACCACCGAAGUGUAUAGGAUCAUGUGCAAGCGCUCGGCCAAUGACGGUGUGGUUGUACGCAAUGACGUUCACUUGUUAUUUAUUCAUGGGACAUCUAUAUUUUUGUAACAUUAGCCAUAAGCAUGCUCGUAUCUUCAUCAUGCCUUGCUUACUGUUUUGGUGAAUUAUUUUAUAUAAUACGUGCAGGGCGGGUGAAUCGCAUACGAUAAACGUGGGGUAAUUGUGGUCCUUAUUGGAAUUCACUUGGGGUGGUGCCCUUAAUCAGCUAAAAAACAAUUGAUUGCUGGCUUUACUUAGAAUAGGUAGACUUAAUUCCUUGCCCUCCUUGCACUAAAUUUCACAACACGAUUUGUCAUUGUCGUGUGUUAUAUUUUAGUGUACUUGUAUAAAGAAUGCUAGCUAUUCUGUUGCCUUCACCUCGGCCACUGUAGAUCCAUUGCCAGUCCUAGUAGUUAUUAAUAUAGCUUCUCCACUCAGGUAAAAAAAAUGACGGAAAGGGGAAAGAAGAUUUGGUGCUUUUCAACUUUUUAAAAGCUUUUGCAAAUUUGUGUUUUAUGAGUUAAGCUCGUGGAAUUUUUCCUAGAUGGGAAUUGAGCUGCAUACGUACAUAUAACUGUGUAAUAUUAUUAAUAAUAUUUUGCUAAAUGAUAUUAGUCAGUUCAAUCGAGGCUACAUUGGGCUUUGUUUGAAUAUAAUGUUAAUGGCAACAGCCACGUUAGUUUAAAUACGAAAUCAAAAAUAGCGUUUAAUGAUUAUGACAAAGUUCUGUCAGUGUAAUAAAAGUGUAAUUGUACGGUCUCAUAAAUUCAUUUACACGAUAAUGGUGUAUCAUUCUUGUCUGACUUGGCUGUCUUGCUAAGCAGUAAAUGCUGCAACUAAUGAAUACUUGCAGCAAAAAAAUAAUGAUAAAAUAUACACACAAACAAUCCGUCAUGUGUAUCAUUUGACAAUAGUAAUUAAAGAUAAAUAUGUGAAUUAAGAUAAUAGUAAGUCUAAUCAUGAUUCGGAAAUUUAUGGUAUACUGUGCAACGUUUACUGUACUUUUGUUUAUGCCUAGAGGAGUAACGAAAUUUGUAAACUAGAAAAAUAAUAAAUAUGUGUUUUUAACGGA
RNAcentral lists this unclassified non-coding RNA (3585 nucleotides) under Priapulus caudatus. RNAcentral describes it as "integrin-linked protein kinase-like, transcript variant X1". The record is from RNAcentral. Lineage: Eukaryota; Metazoa; Priapulida; Priapulimorpha; Priapulimorphida; Priapulidae.